This is a non-coding RNA of Leptonychotes weddellii (Weddell seal), 101 nucleotides long. The record is from RefSeq and is a predicted model, not a curated record. Lineage: Eukaryota; Metazoa; Chordata; Mammalia; Carnivora; Phocidae.
GCUGUGAAAACAAGAAACAGUGCUUUUCUCUAAACUAUGGGAAUUCAGAAGAGGAGCCCAGAAACAGCACACAAGAGACACCAAGGAUGACAUGAUCAUCU